UAUUCAUCUCUUAAUAGAUUUAGACCAAGACCCCCUUCCCUAAUGGGCCUCUUCACCUUUUCCCAGUUCACCAAGUAAUAUUUUCUAUCUCCCUCGUCAUCACCCUAUAGAAAUCUACAUUAGAUUUUCUCAAUUUUUUUCUGCAAUGCUAACCGGAAUAGUUAAAAUAGAAAGAUAGUAAAUAGGUAAGUUUACAAGGGUACUCUUGAUCAAAGUGAGUCUAACCCCUUUAGAAAGGUAAGCGAUGUUUCACCCCACCAACCUCCUUUCAAAUAAGUCAUCCACGGGCUUCCAUGUAUUAACAUUUUUAUAUUUAGCUCCCAACGGAAUCUCAAGGUCCUUAACUGAUAAAGGAGUAACCUUGCAACCCAACAUCCGUGUCAACCUCCUUUCAUCCCCCGUAUAUGCAAUUCUAACAAUUUCCGUCUUUCUCAAAUUAAUUUUCAGACCCAACACCAUUUGAAAGUAUAGUAAAAUACAUCUCAAAUACAACAACGCAUUAACAUCAGGCUCACACAAAACAAGGGUGUCAUCAGCAAAAAAUAAGUGAGAGACCCUCACCCUUGUAUCCCCCUUCCCCAUCGAUAUACCCCACAACAAAUUAAGUUCCCCCGCCCGGUCCAUCAGUGUACUAAAUACCUUCAUCAUCAUAAGGAACAGUAGAGAUGAAAUAGGAUUCCCUUGCUGAAGAUAUCUAGAUACUUUAAAGAAUGUCGAUGGACCAACUUAAAAAUAAAUAAUAAUAAUAAUUGAAAAAAUAACUUCAAUAGAAAAUUCAUUUCAAACUAAGAUCUUCUUGUUCUACAUCAUUCUACCUCAAGUUAAAACUCUUCCUUGAGUUUUGAAAUGACAGAGCAUCAAGCUAACAAAGGCUUGAACAGGUUCAUCAAAAUCUUCAAGAACUCGAGUCUGUUGAUGAUCUUCACAUAAAAACUUAAAUUCAAUCAAAAUUAUAAAUUUCCUAGGAUCAUAAAACAUAAAUGGAAAAUGAAAUCAUCCCAAGAAACAUGUUUAAUAUAGUAAUAAUGAACGAGAAAAAAUUCAGUAGUAGCAUGAGUUGGAAAAAAAUUAAGGAAAGUAAUAAGUUGCUGAACAUCAUUAGCAUAAAUGAAAACAACUUUAACAAAAGCAAUUUUCUUGAGUAGCAACUGGUGGUGUUAUAGCCUUUCAAGUUUUUCAUUUUCUAACACAAUGAAUGUCAAGCCUACUCAUACACGGGAGCUCAGUUUUUAAUUCUUGCAGAACAUCUCAUUCUUUCUUAACAAGUCUAUUUUAGUUGACUGCAAUUAUCAUAUAUGCCACGAUUAUUGAGAGAACUUUUAACAAAGACAACUUAUUCAAUACAAUGAUGUUGAAUGUAAUUAAUUAUUGACUUAUCGUAGUACUUUAUGCAUCUAUAGGGACAAGAAACUUGGUACAGCAUAUCCUAUGUGGAUAGAUUAUAUGAUGAAUUGCACUAAAAGUUUUUUGGAUGCCAUGUCAAGUUACCACCUUUAUUGCUCAUAAUGAUGGUAAGGUGCAAAUCUAACCAGACAUCCAAAGAAACUGGUAGAAUACAUUGGAAAACUUCAAGACUUGGUUCGAAUCAGUUGAAAAAUCAAUCCACAAGGAUCUGAAUCGGAGUGGUCAAUCAAUCUAGUAAACAUGUGUGAACCAGUCAACUAAAAAUUCCUAUCACCAAUGUGCACGUGAGGUACUACUGCCGAUUUUAGUUCAUUGGGGAAGGUUGGUCUUCCUGUUACAAAUUUGUCUCAUCAUGAUGGUUCUAUCUCAGUGGUCAGUGUCACUUGUGACAGAUGGAAUCAAUGAUUGGAAUUUAAUCUAGGCUGGUCAGAGCUAUCUGGUUGUUAUUAUGGUGGCAGUGUCAUCCACUGCUCAGCGAUUGCUGACAGUUUGUGCUAAGGCUGAUAAUAACAGGGACAAAAGCCGCAUUUGGAAAGAAAGAAUAUGAGGAAGAAGACGAUGAUGACAUUGAUGAAUUCUCUAGCACACCGAAGGACACUAAUGGAAGUGAUGAAGAUUGGGCGGUUUGACAUGGUGAUAUAAAGUAGGAUUGAAGCAUUUAUUUGCUGUCCAUACAGCUAAUAAUUUCCUAGAGGAGCUUACACUUGUGAUUAGCCAGCCAUUGGCUUCGUAAUAUAAUAUAAUCUCAGAUCUGGUGAUCUUAUCCGUUGCUUGCUUAGAGGCUACUAGAGUUGGAAGCAGAACAGUGGAAGGAGUAGGAUUAAUAUGGGUGCAUAAAUGCCAUCACCUGAAUCUUUCUUCAACAAAUUUUGCAAGUCAAUAAGACAACGGUAAAAUCUGAAGCCUAUGAAUUUUUGAUAUGUAAAGAUAUUACCAACUUUUGCAAAGGUUUUCUUCUUUUAGCCUAUAUUACAACAGUUUAUAUGUACUUUUAUAUUAUAGUUUAUAUAUAAAAUUCCAGACUUCAUUGUCA
Molecule: non-coding RNA, 2437 nt
Organism: Carica papaya (papaya)
Lineage: Eukaryota; Viridiplantae; Streptophyta; Magnoliopsida; Brassicales; Caricaceae
Source: RefSeq, a predicted model, not a curated record